Long non-coding RNA from Protopterus annectens (West African lungfish), 1008 nucleotides. RefSeq lists it as uncharacterized. The record is from RefSeq and is a predicted model, not a curated record. The transcript is spliced from 3 exons. NCBI's taxonomy places the organism in Eukaryota, Metazoa, Chordata, Ceratodontiformes, Protopteridae.
UUUAGCGGGGCUGACAGUACUGAAAAAAGUAUGUCUCCAGAAGCACGCAUUGUCCGAGGGUGUUAUUCAUCUGUCAGAUACACUCUGAAGGAGGGAAUUUGUAUGAGGUGAAACCAAAGUGAGAGCCUAAAGUAUCAGGAGAAGAGGACAGAAGCCUUUUCAAUGAUAAGAAGACAGCUACCAUACUUAGUUACAAUGAUUUUAAGAAUAUGUAUGGAUUCUGAAUGAAAAUUAUGAAACGCAAGUGAUCCAGUCUGCAAAGGAAGACCACGGACUUUGGAUAAAAUUAAAUAUUCAAAUGGAAACACCCACCAACAAGUAGAUUAAAUGAGGAAAGAAGAUGUGGUCACAAGAGGUUAAAAAAAUGGAACAUCUCUGAUGCAAUACAGAAGAAAAAGUAGCUCUGCUCAUAUUAGUGUUUUGCUGUUGUACUUCCAUUUAAGUGUUCUUUUUGCCUUGUAGCCAGAAAAAAAUGCUGGAAGGAGAACUUAAUACAUUUAUACAGCAGUGAAGGAGCUACACUUAAAUGUGAAGUAACAAGAUCUACAGAACCUGCAGAGAUGAAGAAAAAAAAAAACACUAAAUGAUGACACAUUAAUAUUAAAAGGAAUGAACAGGUAGAACUAAGGACACAUGCCUUCAGAAUGGCCCAAAAGUUGGAAGUCCCGAUGAAAGCUCUGAAAGGAAUUACGUGUUUAUUAUAAACUAAACUAAAGAGUGAACUUUUAGUGGCAAAAAACCCCAGAAAAUCAGAGAUAGAUGAAACCAUCUGAGUUUUCAUCCACCAAUUAAGAGAAUUAGGAAAACUGUGUUGUUUCAGCAGAAACAUGGUGCAGCAAUGAAUGACGAAACAUCCCAGUUUUCUAGCAGAAUCUGUUAUCGGUACUUUCCUUCUUCAUACAGAAUAAAUGUGUAUCAUGUCCUUAAUCUUGCUUGCUGGCAAAACUUAGAAUCACGAGCUUGUUCUUAAUUAAGAGAGUAUACAACUUUGAAAAUACAUAACUUAAA